UAGAUACCCCAUCUGCAGCUGAUC
This 24-nucleotide non-coding RNA is filed under the name Mus musculus (house mouse). Lineage: Eukaryota; Metazoa; Chordata; Mammalia; Rodentia; Muridae. The record is from RNAcentral.